AAUAGAUACCCAGGUAGUCCACGCCGUAAACGAUGAGUGCUAAGUGUUAGAGGGUUUCCGCCCUUUAGUGCUGCAGCUAACGCAUUAAGCACUCCGCCUGGGGAGUACGGCCGCAAGGCUGAAACUCAAAGGAAUUGACGGGGGCCCGCACAAGCGGUGGAGCAUGUGGUUUAAUUCGAAGCAACGCGAAGAACCUUACCAGGUCUUGACAUCCUCUGACAACCCUAGAGAUAAGGCUUUCCCCUUCGGGGGACAGAGUGACAGGUGGUGCAUGGUUGUCGUCAGCUCGUGUCGUGAGAUGUUGGGUUAAGUCCCGCAACGAGCGCAACCCUUGAUCUUAGUUGCCAGCAUUCAGUUGGGCACUCUAAGGUGACUGCCGGUGACAAACCGGAGGAAGGUGGGGAUGACGUCAAAUCAUCAUGCCCCUUAUGACCUGGGCUACACACGUGCUACAAUGGAUGGUACAAAGGGCUGCAAACCUGCGAAGGUAAGCGAAUCCCAUAAAGCCAUUCUCAGUUCGGAUUGCAGG
RNAcentral lists this ribosomal RNA (529 nucleotides) under uncultured bacterium. RNAcentral's name for it is "bacterial SSU rRNA". It matches the Rfam family "Bacterial small subunit ribosomal RNA", at positions 777 to 1304 of the family's 1533-position model. The record is from RNAcentral.